Molecule: ribosomal RNA, 335 nt
Filed under: Hemiphractus scutatus (Spix's horned treefrog)
Lineage: Eukaryota; Metazoa; Chordata; Amphibia; Anura; Hemiphractidae
Description: partial 16S ribosomal RNA
Source: RNAcentral
GCCAAAAAUCUAACCCAAUACACAAACAAAACCCAGUUACCAUGCUGACAAAACUAAACCAUUAUAAAAAUUUAGUAAAGGCGAUUAAAAAAUUUUUAGAAGUUAUACCCAUAGUACCGCAAGGGAAAGAUGAAAUAAAAUGAAAACUUAAGCAAAAAAAAGAAGAGAUAAAACCUCGUACCUUUUGCAUCAUGAAUUAACUAGUUCAAUCAAGCAAAAAGACUUUUAGUUUGACAUCCCGAAUCUAAGCGAGCUACUUCAAGGCAGCUUUCUGAGCCCACCCGUCUCUGUAGCAAAAGAGUGGGGAGACCUUCAAGUAGAAGUGAUACACCUAA